GGGUUGUGAGGUUAAGCGACUAAGCGUACACGGUGGAUGCCCUGGCAGUCAGAGGCGAUGAAGGACGUGCUAAUCUGCGAUAAGCGUCGGUGAGGUGAUAUGAACCGUUAUAACCGGCGAUUUCCGAAUGGGGAAACCCAGUGUGUUUCGACACACUAUCAUUAACUGAAUCCAUAGGUUAAUGAGGCGAACCGGGGGAACUGAAACAUCUAAGUACCCCGAGGAAAAGAAAUCAACCGAGAUUCCCCCAGUAGCGGCGAGCGAACGGGGAGGAGCCCAGAGCCUGAAUCAGUGUGUGUGUUAGUGGAAGCGUCUGGAAAGGCGYGCGAUACAGGGUGACAGCCCCGUACACAAAAAUGCACAUAUUGUGAGCUCGAUGAGUAGGGCGGGACACGUGGUAUCCUGUCUGAAUAUGGGGGGACCAUCCUCCAAGGCUAAAUACUCCUGACUGACCGAUAGUGAACCAGUACCGUGAGGGAAAGGCGAAAAGAACCCCGGCGAGGGGAGUGAAAAAGAACCUGAAACCGUGUACGUACAAGCAGUGGGAGCCUCUUAAUGGGGUGACUGCGUACCUUUUGUAUAAUGGGUCAGCGACUUAUAUUCUGUAGCAAGGUUAACCGAAUAGGGGAGCCGAAGGGAAACCGAGUCUUAACUGGGCGUUAAGUUGCAGGGUAUAGACCCGAAACCCGGUGAUCUAGCCAUGGGCAGGUUGAAGGUUGGGUAACACUAACUGGAGGACCGAACCGACUAAUGUUGAAAAAUUAGCGGAUGACUUGUGGCUGGGGGUGAAAGGCCAAUCAAACCGGGAGAUAGCUGGUUCUCCCCGAAAGCUAUUUAGGUAGCGCCUCGUGAAUUCAUCUCCGGGGGUAGAGCACUGUUUCGGCAAGGGGGUCAUCCCGACUUACCAACCCGAUGCAAACUGCGAAUACCGGAGAAUGUUAUCACGGGAGACACACGGCGGGUGCUAACGUCCGUCGUGAAGAGGGAAACAACCCAGACCGCCAGCUAAGGUCCCAAAGUCAUGGUUAAGUGGGAAACGAUGUGGGAAGGCCCAGACAGCCAGGAUGUUGGCUUAGAAGCAGCCAUCAUUUAAAGAAAGCGUAAUAGCUCACUGGUCGAGUCGGCCUGCGCGGAAGAUGUAACGGGGCUAAACCAUGCACCGAAGCUGCGGCAGCGACACUAUGUGUUGUUGGGUAGGGGAGCGUUCUGUAAGCCUGUGAAGGUGGCCUGUGAGGGUUGCUGGAGGUAUCAGAAGUGCGAAUGCUGACAUAAGUAACGAUAAAGCGGGUGAAAAGCCCGCUCGCCGGAAGACCAAGGGUUCCUGUCCAACGUUAAUCGGGGCAGGGUGAGUCGACCCCUAAGGCGAGGCCGAAAGGCGUAGUCGAUGGGAAACAGGUUAAUAUUCCUGUACUUGGUGUUACUGCGAAGGGGGGACGGAGAAGGCUAUGUUGGCCGGGCGACGGUUGUCCCGGUUUAAGCGUGUAGGCUGGUUUUCCAGGCAAAUCCGGAAAACCAAGGCUGAGGCGUGAUGACGAGGCACUACGGUGCUGAAGCGACAAAUGCCCUGCUUCCAGGAAAAGCCUCUAAGCAUCAGGUAACAUCAAAUCGUACCCCAAACCGACACAGGUGGUCAGGUAGAGAAUACCAAGGCGCUUGAGAGAACUCGGGUGAAGGAACUAGGCAAAAUGGUGCCGUAACUUCGGGAGAAGGCACGCUGAUAUGUAGGUGAAGCGACUUGCUCGUGGAGCUGAAAUCAGUCGAAGAUACCAGCUGGCUGCAACUGUUUAUUAAAAACACAGCACUGUGCAAACACGAAAGUGGACGUAUACGGUGUGACGCCUGCCCGGUGCCGGAAGGUUAAUUGAUGGGGUUAGCGGCAACGCGAAGCUCUUGAUCGAAGCCCCGGUAAACGGCGGCCGUAACUAUAACGGUCCUAAGGUAGCGAAAUUCCUUGUCGGGUAAGUUCCGACCUGCACGAAUGGCGUAAUGAUGGCCAGGCUGUCUCCACCCGAGACUCAGUGAAAUUGAACUCGCUGUGAAGAUGCAGUGUACCCGCGGCAAGACGGAAAGACCCCGUGAACCUUUACUAUAGCUUGACACUGAACAUUGAGCCUUGAUGUGUAGGAUAGGUGGGAGGCUUUGAAGUGUGGACGCCAGUCUGCAUGGAGCCGACCUUGAAAUACCACCCUUUAAUGUUUGAUGUUCUAACGUUGGCCCGUAAUCCGGGUUGCGGACAGUGUCUGGUGGGUAGUUUGACUGGGGCGGUCUCCUCCUAAAGAGUAACGGAGGAGCACGAAGGUUGGCUAAUCCUGGUCGGACAUCAGGAGGUUAGUGCAAUGGCAUAAGCCAGCUUGACUGCGAGCGUGACGGCGCGAGCAGGUGCGAAAGCAGGUCAUAGUGAUCCGGUGGUUCUGAAUGGAAGGGCCAUCGCUCAACGGAUAAAAGGUACUCCGGGGAUAACAGGCUGAUACCGCCCAAGAGUUCAUAUCGACGGCGGUGUUUGGCACCUCGAUGUCGGCUCAUCACAUCCUGGGGCUGAAGUAGGUCCCAAGGGUAUGGCUGUUCGCCAUUUAAAGUGGUACGCGAGCUGGGUUUAGAACGUCGUGAGACAGUUCGGUCCCUAUCUGCCGUGGGCGCUGGAGAACUGAGGGGGGCUGCUCCUAGUACGAGAGGACCGGAGUGGACGCAUCACUGGUGUUCGGGUUGUCAUGCCAAUGGCACUGCCCGGUAGCUAAAUGCGGAAGAGAUAAGUGCUGAAAGCAUCUAAGCACGAAACUUGCCCCGAGAUGAGUUCUCCCUGAGACUUAGAGUCUCCUGAAGGAACGUUGAAGACGACGACGUUGAUAGGCCGGGUGUGUAAGCGCAGCGAUGCGUUGAGCUAACCGGUACUAAUGAACCGUGAGGCUUAACCUUACAACGCCGAAG
Molecule: ribosomal RNA, 2925 nt
Filed under: Escherichia coli
Lineage: Bacteria; Pseudomonadati; Pseudomonadota; Gammaproteobacteria; Enterobacterales; Enterobacteriaceae
Description: bacterial LSU rRNA
Rfam family: Bacterial large subunit ribosomal RNA
Source: RNAcentral